GCAUAGCUCAGUGGUAGAGCAGUGGUCUCCAAAAUCACGUGCCGCAGGUUCGAUUCCUGCCUUUCCGAUUCCA
RNAcentral lists this transfer RNA (73 nucleotides) under Caudoviricetes sp. RNAcentral describes it as "tRNA-Trp". The stretch from base 4 to 60 matches the Rfam family "tRNA", at positions 8 to 63 of the family's 71-position model. Rfam says of the family: Transfer RNA (tRNA) molecules are approximately 80 nucleotides in length. Their secondary structure includes four short double-helical elements and three loops (D, anti-codon, and T loops). Further hydrogen bonds mediate the characteristic L-shaped molecular structure. tRNAs have two regions of fundamental functional importance: the anti-codon, which is responsible for specific mRNA codon recognition, and the 3' end, to which the tRNAs corresponding amino acid is attached (by aminoacyl-tRNA synthetases). tRNAs cope with the degeneracy of the genetic code in two manners: having more than one tRNA (with a specific anti-codon) for a particular amino acid; and 'wobble' base-pairing, i.e. permitting non-standard base-pairing at the 3rd anti-codon position. Lineage: Duplodnaviria; Heunggongvirae; Uroviricota; Caudoviricetes. The record is from RNAcentral.